RNAcentral lists this ribosomal RNA (253 nucleotides) under uncultured bacterium. RNAcentral's name for it is "partial 16S ribosomal RNA". It matches the Rfam family "Bacterial small subunit ribosomal RNA", at positions 524 to 776 of the family's 1533-position model. The record is from RNAcentral.
UACGUAGGGUGCGAGCGUUAAUCGGAAUUACUGGGCGUAAAGCGUGCGCAGGCGGUUCGCUGUGUCCGAUGUGAAAGCCCCGGGCUUAACCUGGGAAUGGCAUUGGAAACUGGCGGGCUUGAGUGCGGCAGAGGGGGGUGGAAUUCCGCGUGUAGCAGUGAAAUGCGUAGAGAUGCGGAGGAACACCGAUGGCGAAGGCAAUCCCCUGGGCCUGCACUGACGCUCAUGCACGAAAGCGUGGGGAGCAAACAGG